ACGAACGCUGGCGGCAUGCCUAACACAUGCAAGUCGAACGAGACCUUCGGGUCUAGUGGCGCACGGGUGCGUAACGCGUGGGAACCUGCCCUUAGGUUCGGAAUAACUCCCCGAAAGGGGUGCUAAUACCGGAUAAUGUCUUCGGACCAAAGAUUUAUCGCCUUUGGAUGGGCCCGCGUUGGAUUAGCUAGUUGGUAGGGUAAAAGCCUACCAAGGCGACGAUCCAUAGCUGGUCUGAGAGGAUGAUCAGCCACACUGGGACUGAGACACGGCCCAGACUCCUACGGGAGGCAGCAGUGGGGAAUAUUGGACAAUGGGCGAAAGCCUGAUCCAGCAAUGCCGCGUGAGUGAUGAAGGCCUUAGGGUUGUAAAGCUCUUUUACCCGGGAUGAUAAUGACAUUACCGGGAGAAUAAGCUCCGGCUAACUCCGUG
RNAcentral lists this ribosomal RNA (432 nucleotides) under uncultured bacterium. RNAcentral's name for it is "partial 16S ribosomal RNA". It matches the Rfam family "Bacterial small subunit ribosomal RNA", at positions 29 to 507 of the family's 1533-position model. The record is from RNAcentral.